GAAUCAGCGAUGAAGAGGAAGAGUAUAUUAGGAUGCCAUACCAGAGAGUGGGCCAGCGGUGGAAGGUCUGCAUGGAAGUACUAAUAGAAGGUAGCCUUGGAGCUGUCUGCCUGAACAGAUAAGUAGGGUAGACCGGGAUAUCCCGUUAUCAUGAGAAAGCGAGCCGGCAUGUAAAAAGCACGUGCAGGCUAACAAAGGUGGUACCGCGAACAAACUCCUUCGUCCUUUGG
RNAcentral lists this non-coding RNA (230 nucleotides) under Aneurinibacillus sp. RNAcentral describes it as "T-box sequence". It matches the Rfam family "T-box leader". From Rfam's summary of the family: Uncharged tRNA acts as the effector for transcription antitermination of genes in the T-box leader family. T-boxes are found upstream of many aminoacyl-tRNA synthetase genes and some amino acid biosynthetic genes usually in Gram-positive bacteria. The record is from RNAcentral. Lineage: Bacteria; Bacillati; Bacillota; Bacilli; Caryophanales; Paenibacillaceae.